GCUACCAUGGAAUUGGAUUUUCGAUCUUGACCAUCCCAUCGGUCAAAACUUUUUUUGGUUGUUCAUCGUACUAUCGGCUGCGCUGAAUCAUUAGGCCGCGAAUGGCAUUAUCGUAAAUUUAUGACGUAACUGCUAAGCUUCGAUCUACUCUCGCUCGCUCGCUCCCUCCUCAUAUUAACACGAAACAAAAGACUUCCAUGGUUCAACUCUGAAACCUCUCUCCACAUUUCUCUUCUCCAAGCUGCGAUCACCUUGAUAGCUUGGUUGUAACGAUCGAGAUCUCACUUCUCUAACCUCUCAUUUGCCUAAUAAUGCCUCUGCGACUAGAAAUCAAGAGGAAACUCGCUCAAAGAUCGGAAAGGGUAAAAUCUGUGGAUUUGCAUCCAACAGAACCAUGGAUUCUGGCGAGUUUGUAUUCUGGAACUGUAUGCAUCUGGAACUAUCAGUCCCAGAUCAUGGUCAAGUCUUUUGAGGUCACUGAAUUACCAGUUAGGUCAGCCAAGUUUAUUGUGCGGAAGCAAUGGGUCGUUGCUGGUGCUGAUGACAUGUUCAUUCGUGUCUACAAUUAUAACACAAUGGAUAAAAUAAAAGUCUUUGAGGCUCAUACAGAUUACAUUAGGUGUGUUGCAGUCCAUCCUACACUUCCAUAUGUUCUGUCAUCAUCCGAUGAUAUGCUCAUAAAGCUUUGGGAUUGGGAGAAGGGUUGGGUGUGCACGCAAAUUUUUGAGGGACACUCUCACUAUGUGAUGCAAGUAACAUUUAAUCCCAAAGACACCAACACCUUUGCAAGUGCUUCUCUUGACCGCACUAUUAAGAUUUGGAAUCUUGGCUCUCCUGACCCUAAUUUUACACUGGAUGCCCAUCAGAAGGGUGUAAAUUGUGUUGAUUACUUUACUGGCGGUGACAAACCCUAUCUAAUUACUGGUUCUGAUGAUCACACUGCUAAGGUGUGGGACUAUCAAACCAAAAGUUGCGUUCAGACACUUGAAGGUCAUACGCACAAUGUGUCUGCUGUUUGUUUCCAUCCAGAACUUCCUAUUAUUAUCACAGGUUCUGAGGAUGGGACUGUUCGUAUAUGGCAUGCAACUACUUAUAGGCUUGAGAACACCUUGAAUUAUGGUCUUGAGCGAGUUUGGGCUAUUGGAUAUAUCAAGGGUUCCCGACGGGUUGUGAUUGGUUAUGAUGAAGGAACCAUUAUGGUAAAACUUGGCCGGGAGGUACCUGUAGCUAGCAUGGAUAACACUGGUAAAAUCAUUUGGGCUAAGCACAAUGAAAUUCAAACAGGAAAUAUUAAGAGUGUGGGAGCAGACUAUGAGGUUACUGAUGGGGAGAGGUUGCCUUUGGCUGUCAAGGAAUUGGGGACCUGUGAUCUUUAUCCGCAAAGCUUAAAGCACAACCCCAAUGGACGAUUUGUUGUUGUAUGUGGAGAUGGUGAAUAUAUUAUCUAUACAGCUUUGGCAUGGAGGAAUAGGUCAUUUGGUUCAGCAUUGGAAAUCGUUUGGUCAUCUGAUGGAGAAUAUGCUGCUCGAGAGAGUACUUCAAAGAUAAAAAUUUUCUCAAAAAACUUCCAGGAAAAGAAGAGCAUCCGACCUACAUUUUCUGCAGAGCGUAUUUAUGGAGGAACUCUUUUAGCCAUGUGCUCAAACGAUUUUAUUUGCUUUUAUGAUUGGGCUGAGUGCCGGUUAAUUCGACGGAUUGAUGUAAAUGUGAAAAAUCUCUAUUGGGCUGAUAGUGGUGACCUAGUGGCAAUUUCCAGUGAUUCAGCAUUUUAUAUCCUGAAGUACAAUCUGGAUGUUGUUUCUUCUUAUCUUGAUAGUGGGAGAUCAGUUGAUGAACAAGGUGUUGAGGAUGCUUUUGAGCUUCUGCAUGAAACAAGUGAACGUGUUAGGACUGGCUUAUGGGUUGGGGAUUGUUUCAUUUAUAAUAAUUCCUCUUGGAGGCUAAAUUACUGUGUUGGUGGUGAGGUUACUACAAUGUUUCAUCUGGAUCGGCCUAUGUAUUUACUUGGAUAUCUUGCCAGUCACAGUCGAGUGUAUUUGAUUGACAAAGAAUUUAAUGUCGUAGGGUACACAUUACUUCUUAGCUUGAUUGAGUACAAGACACUUGUAAUGCGUGGAGAUUUAGAAAGAGCCAGUGAAAUAUUACCUUCAAUUCCCAAGGAGCAUCAUAAUAGUGUGGCUCGCUUUUUAGAAUCCCGAGGUAUGAUAGAAGAGGCACUGGAAGUAGCAACUGAUCCAGAUUAUAGAUUUGAGUUAGCGAUACAGCUUGGCAGAUUAGAUGUUGCACAGGAAAUUGCAACAACUGUGCAUAGUGAAUCCAAAUGGAAGCAACUUGGAGAAUUGGCCAUGUCUACUGGAAAGCUAGAAAUGGCAGAGGAAUGUCUAAAAUUUGCCAUGGACCUGAGUGGUCUGUUACUGCUAUAUUCUUCUUUAGGAGAUGCUGAAGGAAUAUCGAAGCUUGCUUCCCUUGCUAAAGAACAAGGAAAGAAUAAUGUUGCAUUCCUUUGUUUAUUUACAUUGGGUAAAUUAGAAGACUGCCUCCAGCUAUUGGUCGAAAGUAAUCGGAUACCUGAAGCUGCAUUAAUGGCUCGAUCUUAUCUUCCAAGUAAAGUGUCUGAGAUAGUUGCUAUUUGGAGAAAGGACUUGAACAAGGAGGUGGUGGUCUAUCAGCUUCAUAUCUCAUGCUUUAGCAAACUUAGAUGCAUGUACAUUUCAGUGGAUGAUGACAUGCAAGUUUGGCUCAAGUGGCAAUUUUUCAUGUCAUUGGGUAACAAUAUAGUGUUUUGGUUAAAAGCGGUAAAGUAAAGUAGUCACCGAGCUAUGUGAAAAUCAGAGUAUUGAGAGAAAAACCAUGAUUGCCUUUCUUAUUAAUUUCUCAUUUGAAAAAAGGAUACAAGAAGGAAGAUAAAUAGGUUACAACUUAUGCUAAAAAAGGAAAGGAUAUUAGGGCAAAUCCUUACUUGGGCCAAGUCCACUAAUUCUAACACUCCCCCUUAAGUUGAGACGUAGAUAUCAAUGAGACCCAACUUGCUAACACAAAAGUCAAAGUUAUGUUUGAGAUUCCCCUCGGUGAGAACAUCAGCAACCUGUAGGCUUGUGGGAAUGUAUGGAGUGCAUAUGCUAUGAUUGUCUAGUCUUUAUUUAAUGAAGUGUUGAUCAAUCUCCACAAGUUUAGUUUUAUCAUGUUGAUCUGGAUUGAUGGCAAUGUUAAUAGCUGUCUUGUUAUUACAAAAUAAUUUUAUCGGCACCUCACAGUCCUGAUGAAGAUCAGAUAAAACUUUCUGGAGCCAAAUUUCCUUACAUAUCCCCAAACUUAUAGCCUUGUACUCAACCUCAACAUUGCUUCUAGUCACAACCUUGUGCUUCUUACUCCUCCAAGUUACAAGAUUUCCCCAUACAAAGAUACAGUAACCGGAAUAGCUUUACCCAGUCAAAGUCAGUAUAGGCCUCAAUAGCUUUCCUGUUUGUCUUUUUGAACAUUAAUCAUUUACCAGAAGUUGUGUUCCUCAUAGGGAGCCUGCAUGAAAUGGCUAACGACACUCACAACAUAGGAAAUAUCUAGUCGAGUAUGAGACAAGAAAAUCAACUUACCAACAAGGCAUUGAUAUUGUUCUUUAUCAACAACUUUAUCACCUAAAUUUCUUAGUUUACAGUUGAAUUCAAUGAGAGUAUCAGCAAGGCAACAUCCAAACAUACCUCUCUCGGUUAACAAAUCAAGAGUAUACUUCCUCUGAGAUACAGAGAUACCUUCUUUAGAUCUAACUACCUCCAUCUCAAGGAAAUCUUUCAAAUUUCCCAAGUCUUUGAUUUCAAACUCAUCACCUAUUCUCUUUUUCAGUUCGAUGAUUUUAGCAGUGUCAUUCUAGAUAAAACGAUGUCAGCAACAUAAACAAUCAAUACUGCGAUCUUCCCAGCCUUGGAGACUUCUGUAAAAAAAGUAUGGUCAGAGUGCCCCUGACUGUAUCCUUGGGACUUGACAAAGAUAGUAAACCUAUCAAACCACUCUUGGUGUCUGUUUCAGUCAUAUAAAGACUUCUGAAGUUUACAAACCCGAUAACCAAAUUGGGCUUCAAACCCUAGGGGGGAACUCAUAUAAACUUCCUCUUUCAGGUCUCCAUUCAAGAACACAUUCUUAACAUCUAGUUGAUAUAAAGGUCAGUCUUUGUUCACAACAACACCAUAGGUCUAAGUAAACCCUUUUGCAACUAACCUCACCUUGGGUCUGUCAAGGGUUCCAUUUUGUAUUUGAUUGUGAACACUGAACACCCAUUUACAUCUCACAGUUUUAUGUCCCUUAGGGAGAGCAUAGAUUUCCCAAGUCUUAUUCUUUUCAAGGGCCUUCAUCUCUUCCAUAACAACAAUUUUCCAUUCAGACACUCUAAAACAAUGUGAAUAUUUUUCGGUAUCAUGGUAGGGUCAAAGCUAACUGUGAAGGCUCUAAACUGUAGAAAUAGAUUGUCAUAGGAAACAUAGUUACAAAUGGGGUGUUUCGUGCAGGACCUGACAUCUUUUCUCAGCUUAAUGGAAAUGUCCAAAGAAGGAUCGUACUGAUCAAGAUAACCUGAAUGACCUUAUUCAGCCUCAUUACCACCAGUUUUUGUUUUGAGCUCAGUUUCAUCAACAUUGUCCUUUUCUCCCAUAUCUUCAGGAGCAACAAUAUCAGACCUGCCAUUCUCACUAAUUUUACUAUCAACGCACGAUUAGUCAUACCUUAACCUCGAGGAGGUUCAGAGUCUUGCACCAGAGUCGGCUGAUCAGUAGGGGACUCAAUUUUCUUUCCGAGAUUUCUUAUAGUAAGUUUUCUUGGGAACUUGGUUUGUGGGUAGGACCAUGGGAUGGGGAUCAGAGUCAGGUAAGGUAAUAAAAGUAGACUCUAAGGUAUAGUUAAACUCUUCACUCACACUCUCCCGCUGAAGAUGACUAACGGGAAAGAAGUGUCGAUCCUCACAAAAUGUGACAUCUAUAGUGACAAAGUAUUUAUAGGAAGGAGGAUGAAAAUAUUUAUAGCCCGCUGAUGAAGAGGAUAUUCGACAAACCCACGUUUGAGCAUGAGGGGUAAAUUCGGCCUGAUUAGGGCCAAAGCUAUGAACAUAGGCUGUACACCUAAAAACACAAAGGGGAGCCUCAGAAGUUAGGCAAGUAGAGGGAUACGACUUCUUGAGACAAUCUAAGGGAGUCUGAAGGUGGAGGACACGAGAAGGCAUCCUAUUGAUGAGAUAAGUUGUAAUAAGAACAACAUCUCCCCACAGAUAUGAAGGAAGGAAAGUAGACAACAUAAGGGAAUGAGUUACUUCCAAAAGGUGACAAUUUUUCCGCUCGACAAUCCCAUUUUGUUGAGAGGUGUAAACAUAAUGAGCUAUAGUGAACUAUCCCCUUGGAGGCUAGGAACUCACCGAGGGUAUGGUUUUGAAACUCCUGACCAUUAUCACUUUGAAAAAUUGCAAUUUUGCAUUAAACAACGUUUCAAUGGGUGAUAAAAGUUCUGGAAAACGGAGGAAAUUUUAGAUUUAUCCUUAAAGGAGGUAAUGACCUUGAAUGGACCCCAAACGUGACUAUGGAUAAGGGUGAAUGGUUGGGUGAUUUAUAUGGUUGUGAGGGGAAGGAGACUUGAUGUUGUUUGGCUUAAAUACAUCCAUCACAAGAUAAAAAGGAGAGAUCAACUUUAGAGAAAUGGGGAAAUAAACACUUCAUAUAUGUAAAGUUUGGAUGACUCAACCGGAAAUGUGACAACAUACAAUCUUGUUCAAAAUUUGUAAAAUAUGAAGCUAAUAAACUAGUUCUAGAGAUACUACUUGCGGAGGUAUCAUCGUCAAGGAGAUAGAGUCCUCUACUAUGUCGGAUAGUGCCAAUCAUCCUUCCCGAGCUUAUGUCUUAAAAAGAAACAGAUUUAGUUAAGAAAGUAGCGUUGCAGUAUUCACGAGUGAUCUUGCUUAUAGGUAGCAAAUUCUAAGAAAUCUUAGGCAUGUGCAAAACAUUCUGGAGGGAUAGCCCUUCAAAAGGAAAAAUUUGUUCCUUCCCAACAAUUGAAGCUAAAGAACCAUCAGCUAUUCCAGCACACAAAAUAUAAGAAACAAAAUUCUCUGAGGAACCUGUCAAGUGAUCUGUAGCCCUGGAUUCUUCCCAUCAACACUAAUAAGACUAAGGGACUGAGACAUACCUGACUGAGCAAUGGCUCAUAGAGUGGAGGGUGGAUUGGGACCGUUCUGGUUUACAGUAGGGCCAGAUGGUUGAGAAGCGCCAACACACUCUCUCAUAUAAUCAUGGCCUGAAUUCUAUUUCUUAUUAAAGGAACGUUUCUUACCUUUGGGUGGACAACCAUGAAGUUUCCAACACUAAUCCUUAGUGUGUCACUAUUUCUUGUAGUGCUCACAGAUAGGGAUUGGUUUUCCGUUAUUCUUCUUACUGUUAUGAGUCGAGGAUCUAAUGCUGGAGGUAGCGGAGUGAGUAGCAGGAGUAGUCAGAACACUCAUGGCAUUUAUAUGGUCUUCUUCAAGACGGGCUUCAUAACACACUUCCAUUAAGGAGGGAAGAGGUCUCUGUCUAAGUAUACGACCAUGGACAAUGUCAAACUUAGGGUUGAGACUUGCAAGGAAGUCAUAAAUUCGAUAAGCUUCUUCAAGUCUAGCAUAUUAUAUACCAUCAUUUGGAGUAUGCCGUACUAUCUCUCUGCACAAGUCCAUCUCUUGCUAGACUAGAGAAAGUUUAUUGAAGUAGAAGGUUACAUCUAGGGUUCCUUGCUUGCAAUCAUGGACUUGUUUCCUCGAUGUAUACAAACGAGAAACGUUUUAAUGCUUUGAAUAGAGUUUCUGAGUUGUGUCCUAUAGAUCCUUCGCAAUUGCUGCAUAAAGCAGAAGUUUGCCUAUUUGUGGUUUCAUACUAUUAAUCAACAUGGGCUGAAUAAAGGAGUCCUCCUCUCUCCAAAAACGUUCCAGGGCAUUACCAAGUGGGGGAUGAAGAGUUUCCCUUGUUAGAAAAACAAAUUGGUUAUGUCCCUCAAGAAACAUCUUGAUCAAUUGAGACCAGGAAAAGUAAUUCUGGCCAUUUAGCUUCUCUUUUGGAAAGGCACUUGUAGAUGGUGUCAGAGAACUCGUUAUAUAAUUUGAGGAUUAGUUAGGGAGCGAAGUUACUGGGUUCUUGGAAUACAUCGGCAAGUCGGUUGUUGCAUUGAAAAUUCACCAACUUCAAACCUUGAUUUAUAUGGACUUGAUUGAUCCCGGUACCAUGGACAUGCGACUACUGUAAAGAGUCAAAGGACAGUUGUGCGUGAAACGAUGAUAGUCCAUAAACCGAGGGCCAUGGCAGCGUGGGGAGGUGCAACUGACCAAAAGAGUAUUGUGACUGAACUUGGGAAGAUAGGUGGGAGUGGACCAGUUGAGCAAUGGAGGUGUUGGAUGGUGGUGCGUGAGGGUACGCGCCUGGCAGCGGUGACGUACAUGGUUAAUGGAAGCGCGUGCAGGUGGUUUCCACUGCUGGGCUGUGUGGCUGACUCCGAGGGUAGGCCCACCAUGCCUGCCCACGUCUUUUGAAGCUGGUGGAGCAACUUUUCCAUGGUCAAUCCAAAGGCAGCUGAUUCACUAGCUGAUCCCGAAGAGUAUCCUAAUCUGUUUGAUGAUUGGCAACUAGCUGUUUCUGUUGAAUCUAAGUUUUCAGAGACCAGGGGUGUUUAUCCUUCUGCGUUGGAGUAUGCUAAUCAAGCUGAU
RNA transcript from Cucumis melo (muskmelon), 7699 nucleotides. It is a transcript of the gene named coatomer subunit beta'-2, with no coding region annotated. The transcript has 24 exons. NCBI's taxonomy places the organism in Eukaryota, Viridiplantae, Streptophyta, Magnoliopsida, Cucurbitales, Cucurbitaceae. The record is from RefSeq and is a predicted model, not a curated record.